AUUGAACGCUGGCGGCAUGCUUUACACAUGCAAGUCGAACGGUAACAGGUUAAGCUGACGAGUGGCGAACGGGUGAGUAAUGCAUCGGAACGUGCCCGGUCGUGGGGGAUAACGCAGCGAAAGCUGCGCUAAUACCGCAUACGAUCUGAGGAUGAAAGCGGGGGACCGUAAGGCCUCGCGCGAUCGGAGCGGCCGAUGUCAGAUUAGGUAGUUGGUGGGGUAAAGGCUCACCAAGCCAACGAUCUGUAGCUGGUCUGAGAGGACGACCAGCCACACUGGGACUGAGACACGGCCCAGACUCCUACGGGAGGCAGCAGUGGGGAAUUUUGGACAAUGGGCGAAAGCCUGAUCCAGCAAUGCCGCGUGCAGGAAGAAGGCCUUCGGGUUGUAAACUGCUUUUGUACGGAGCGAAAAGGUCUCCUCUAAUACAGGGGGCUCAUGACGGUACCGUAAGAAUAAGCACCGGCUAACUACGUGCCAGCCGCCGCCGUUAA
RNAcentral lists this ribosomal RNA (494 nucleotides) under uncultured bacterium. Its description in RNAcentral is "partial 16S ribosomal RNA". It matches the Rfam family "Bacterial small subunit ribosomal RNA", at positions 30 to 524 of the family's 1533-position model. The record is from RNAcentral.